CGUGGGCUUGUGACCCGAGUUGUGGCAAAAAUGUUACAUAAUAGUCAAUUUUGGUAUGUGGGUUUGGGCCAGUGCUGCUGUGGUCCAGCACUUCCUUCAACCCGGUUCAGAGUGCGUGCUUGUUAAAAGCGGGAGCGCACCGAAAAAAUUGGCUUAAUAGAGAAAGGCUGUAAGGUUUGUGGGGGGGGGGGAGGCUUCACAUCUUCAAUCGUUGUAAACAAAAUUCUUGAAAUAUUUUAAU
RNAcentral lists this long non-coding RNA (241 nucleotides) under Nicotiana benthamiana. Its description in RNAcentral is "long non-coding RNA (NBEN_LNC027695)". The record is from RNAcentral. Lineage: Eukaryota; Viridiplantae; Streptophyta; Magnoliopsida; Solanales; Solanaceae.